RNAcentral lists this ribosomal RNA (253 nucleotides) under uncultured bacterium. Its description in RNAcentral is "partial 16S ribosomal RNA". It matches the Rfam family "Bacterial small subunit ribosomal RNA", at positions 524 to 776 of the family's 1533-position model. The record is from RNAcentral.
UACAGAGGUCUCAAGCGUUGUCCGGAUUUAUUGGGCGUAAAGAGCGUGUAGGCGGCCAGGUAGGUCUGCUGUGAAAACUCGAGGCUUAACCUCGAGCUGUCGGCGGAAACCAUCUGGCUAGAGUCCGGAAGAGGAGAAUGGAAUUCCCGGUGUAGCGGUGAAAUGCGCAGAUAUCGGGAAGAGCACCCGUGGCGAAGGCGGUUCUCUGGGACGGUACUGACGCUGAGACGCGAAAGCGUGGGGAGCGAACAGG